RNAcentral lists this ribosomal RNA (292 nucleotides) under uncultured bacterium. RNAcentral's name for it is "partial 16S ribosomal RNA". It matches the Rfam family "Bacterial small subunit ribosomal RNA", at positions 505 to 796 of the family's 1533-position model. The record is from RNAcentral.
GUACCAGCCGCCUCGGUAAUACGGAGGGUGCAAGCGUUGUCCGGAAUCACUGGGUGUAAAGGGUGUGCAGGCGGGGCAACAAGUCGGAGGUGAAAGCCCAUGGCUCAACCAUGGAAGUGCCUUCGAAACUGUUGCUCUUGAGUCCCGAAGAGGUUGUCGGAAUUCGUGGUGUAGCGGUGAAAUGCGUAGAUAUCACGAGGAACACCAGAGGCGAAAGCGGACAACUGGACGGGUACUGACGCUCAGGCACGAAAGCGUGGGGAACAAACAGGAUUAGAUACCCUGGUAGUCC